Molecule: ribosomal RNA, 446 nt
Filed under: uncultured bacterium
Lineage: Bacteria
Description: partial 16S ribosomal RNA
Rfam family: Bacterial small subunit ribosomal RNA
Source: RNAcentral
CCUACGGGAGGCAGCAGUAGGGAAUUUUCGGCAAUGGGGGGAACCCUGACCGAGCAACGCCGCGUGAACGAAGAAGUUAUUCGUAAUGUAAAGUUCUUUUAACAGGGAAGAAAGUGAAAUUUGACGGUACCUGAAGAAUAAGCUCCGGCUAACUACGUGCCAGCAGCCGCGGUAAUACGUAGGGAGCGAGCGUUAUCCGGAAUUAUUGGGCGUAAAGGGUGCGUAGAUGGCAUAGAAAGUCUUUUGUAAAAAGGCUGGGCUCAACCCAGUAGGGCAAAAGAUACUGCAAAGCUAGAGUAUGACAGAGGCAAGUGGAACUACAUGUGUAGCGGUAAAAUGCGUAAAUAUAUGUAAGAACACCAGUGGCGAAGGCGGCUUGCUGGGUCGAUACUGACAUUGAGGCACGAAAGCGUGGGGAGCGAACAGGAUUAGAUACCCUUGUAGUC